This is a regulatory RNA element of Firmicutes bacterium CAG:536, 72 nucleotides long. Lineage: Bacteria; Bacillati; Bacillota. The record is from Rfam.
AUGGUCAUGCAACCGCACAGAAAAGGUCUUAAGUGGAGGAAUCCCACCUUUAUGGCGAGUAAUCAUAGAUGA